GCAUAACGCGAAGAACCUUACCAAGGCUUGACAUGCAUCUCUAAGCGCGUGAAAGCGCGUGACUCUUCGGAGGAUUUGCACAGGUGCUGCAUGGCCGUCGUCAGCUCGUGUCGUGAGAUGUUGGGUUAAGUCCCGCAACGAGCGCAACCCCUGUGAUUAGUUGUCAGCACGUGAUGGUGGGGACUCUAAUCAGACUGCCCAGAUCAACUGGGAGGAAGGUGGGGACGACGUCAGGUCAGUAUGGCCCUUACGCCUUGGGCUGCACACGUACUACAAUGCCCAGCACAAUGAGAACCGAGACCGCGAGGUGGAGGAAAUCUACAAAACUGGGCCCAGUUCGGAUUGGAGGCUGCAACUCGCCUCCAUGAAGCCGGAAUCGCUAGUAAUGCUGCAUCAGCUACGGCAGCGUGAAUACGUUCCCGGGUCUUGUACACACCG
This 438-nucleotide ribosomal RNA is filed under the name uncultured bacterium. RNAcentral's name for it is "bacterial SSU rRNA". It matches the Rfam family "Bacterial small subunit ribosomal RNA", at positions 954 to 1392 of the family's 1533-position model. The record is from RNAcentral.